RNAcentral lists this ribosomal RNA (497 nucleotides) under uncultured bacterium. RNAcentral describes it as "partial 16S ribosomal RNA". It matches the Rfam family "Bacterial small subunit ribosomal RNA", at positions 28 to 507 of the family's 1533-position model. The record is from RNAcentral.
GAUGAACGCUGGCGGCGUGCCUAAUACAUGCAAGUCGAGCGAACAGACGAGGAGCUUGCUCCUCUGACGUUAGCGGCGGACGGGUGAGUAACACGUGGAUAACCUACCUAUAAGACUGGGAUAACUUCGGGAAACCGGAGCUAAUACCGGAUAAUAUAUUGAACCGCAUGGUUCAAUAGUGAAAGACGGUUUUGCUGUCACUUAUAGAUGGAUCCGCGCCGCAUUAGCUAGUUGGUAAGGUAACGGCUUACCAAGGCAACGAUGCGUAGCCGACCUGAGAGGGUGAUCGGCCACACUGGAACUGGGACACGGUCCAGACGCCUACGGGAGGCAGCAGUAGGGAAUCUUCCGCAAUGGGCGAAAGCCUGACGGAGCAACGCCGCGUGAGUGAUGAAGGUCUUCGGAUCGUAAAACUCUGUUAUUAGGGAAGAACAAAUGUGUAAGUAACUAUGCACGUCUUGACGGUACCUAAUCAGAAAGCCACGGCUAACUACGUG